UACGUAGGGUGCGAGCGUUGUCCGGAAUUAUUGGGCGUAAAGAGCUUGUAGGCGGUUUGUCGCGUCUGCCGUGAAAAUUCGAGGCUCAACCUCGAACUUGCGGUGGGUACGGGCAGACUAGAGUGUGGUAGGGGAGACUGGAAUUCCUGGUGUAGCGGUGAAAUGCGCAGAUAUCUGGAGGAACACCGGUGGCGAAGGCGGCAUUCUGGACCAUAACUGACACUGAGAGACGAAAGCCAGGGGAGCAAACGGG
This 253-nucleotide ribosomal RNA is filed under the name uncultured bacterium. RNAcentral's name for it is "partial 16S ribosomal RNA". It matches the Rfam family "Bacterial small subunit ribosomal RNA", at positions 524 to 776 of the family's 1533-position model. The record is from RNAcentral.